AGGCCGGACAGCCGCGGACGCAGGCCGAAAGGCCGCGGAUGAGGAAAGUCCGGGCUCCACAGGGCAGGGAUAACGGGUAACGCCCGCCGAGGGUAACCUCAGGACAAGUGCAACAGAGAGAUACUACUGCGGUUUCCGCAGGAAAGGUGAAAAGGCAGGCUCAUAGCCUGCCCGGCCCAUGGUAACAUGGGUUUUACGCUGUAAACUCUAUCCCGGAGCAACGCCGUGGAGAAGCUUAAGGUUGACCCGACCGCUUCGAGGAGGCGGCUUGACCCCGUGAGCAAUUGCGGGGCUAGAUAGAUGGCUGUCAAGACAGAACCCGGCUUAUAGAUCUGGUUG
RNAcentral lists this RNase P RNA (339 nucleotides) under human gut metagenome. RNAcentral describes it as "Bacterial RNase P class A". It matches the Rfam family "Bacterial RNase P class A". Rfam says of the family: Ribonuclease P (RNase P) is a ubiquitous endoribonuclease, found in archaea, bacteria and eukarya as well as chloroplasts and mitochondria. Its best characterised activity is the generation of mature 5'-ends of tRNAs by cleaving the 5'-leader elements of precursor-tRNAs. The record is from RNAcentral.